Molecule: non-coding RNA, 482 nt
Organism: Schizosaccharomyces pombe (fission yeast)
Lineage: Eukaryota; Fungi; Ascomycota; Schizosaccharomycetes; Schizosaccharomycetales; Schizosaccharomycetaceae
Source: the annotation of a GenBank genome assembly
UUAAACCUAAAUAAAAAGAUCACAAAACCGCUAGAUAAUUGUAAAACCUUUUAUCCAUUCACUGAGUCAAUUAUUUGUCCAUAUAUAAAUCUAGAGAGAGAGAAUUGUUUUGUUACUAUAAUUGAUUUCCUAUCUUUUCAAACAUUUGAAGAUAUAAAUCGCUAGUUUCCACAGAAAAUUAAAAUAAUGAGGCACCAAGCCAUAUUGACUGUAUAAAAGAUAAAUUAAGGAGAUACAGUGGAAAAUUGUGAUUGAGCCAGUGAAUUUUUUCGCUGUUAGAAAGCAACGAAAAAUACGUCAAAUCAUUGAAACUUCAAUUAGGCAUAAGUGCAUGAAAGCUCGAUAAUUGUUCGAGUUGUUUAGCUUAAAACGAAUAGAUUAAAGUGCGAAAAGAGCGGAUGCGUUUAAUUUUUAGGAUAUUUGGUUUCUUUUAAUGAGCUUUAGUUCAUUCUUACUAUAUCGUUUUGUAAAUAAACAGGUUC